Molecule: long non-coding RNA, 1675 nt
Organism: Macaca mulatta (Rhesus monkey)
Lineage: Eukaryota; Metazoa; Chordata; Mammalia; Primates; Cercopithecidae
Source: Ensembl
GGAGACUUCAAGGGCUGCAGCACGGCGAGGAAAGGAAGGGUGGGGUUUUCCUUGUUACGGGUAAUGACUACGCAGCUUUCUGGGAAUGCAUAUUUUGGGAAGAACACUGACAUUAUUUAAAAAAAAAAAAAAAAAGGUGAGAUUAUGACACAGAAAGAAAUGACCCUUACCAGGAGGAAGUAGAAAGAAAAAAAGAGGAAGUGACUAGAGCAAAGGAAGACAAAAGGAAAUUUGGCACAACAGGAUGUGAAAAUAGAGAAGCAACUUUUCCAAAAUUGUAAGUGGUGGAGAGAAGUUUUUCCAAGGAGAAAACCUGGGCUAAGUAUUAAAAACAACAACAACAAAAUCAGACAGAAAUGAAAGAGAAGAAGGAUGGUGAAAAGGGGAAAUGGGGGAGAAUAUUCUGUGCAGAAAUAACAGUAUGAAAGAGGCUGGUCAGCAAGUGACAGCAGAUUGCAGUGGAAAAAUCACAAGUUGUUCAAUGUUACUGGAGUUUUCAAGGCAUGUUGGGGGGUAGAAAGAAUUGAAAUUAGAAUGAUGGGCAUAGGUCAGAUCACAAUGGGCUAGCCAUGUCCUGAAAAAGAGUUUGAACUUUAUUCUGAAACCACUGAAGCAUGAAAUAAGGAAAACAAAAGAAUAAGAAUAAGAAUGUUGUUAUUGUGUGGGCUGAAUAAUGGUCCCCCGAAGAUGGUUUCACAUCCUGAUAUGGUUUGGGUGUUUGGUGCCUCGCAAAAACAGAGCCCCACACUUAGUUUAAUGCCCUGCUGUUGCUCUCUUGAAAUUUUUAAUAAUUACUUUACAAGGGGCUAUUCUGCAUUUUCAUUUUGCACUGGGCCUCACAAAUUAUGUAGCCAGUAUUGCCUAAUUCUAACAUUAAUCCUGAAAAACAAAAAAUUAUACUCACUUUAUAAACCAAGACACUGAAAAUCUCAGAGAGGGAGUAUAAUCCAGUAAUAAAUGCCUUUAGUCAGGUAAAUUCUGCUACUUGCCAGUCAGGGCCCCUAGGACAAGCUUCCUAAUUCCUUCCAAACCUCACUUUCUUCUUUUGCACAGUAAUUACAAUAUCUGCCUUGCAGAGUGGUCAUGAGCAGUAGAAAUAACAUAUGUAAAGUACUGACACAGUGCUGGCAGAUCAGAAGAACUCGGAUGGUAGUUGCUAUUGCUCAAAGUUCCAGACUUAGUAAGAGUUGAAGAAGGAUUUCAUGCCUAUAGUUUCUUUUUUUUCUCUCAGACUUGUAUUUUGGAGGAUCAUUCUGGCACAAUGUGGAUGGUGAAAUGUAAGACUAGAGGCAAGAAGACCAGUUCAGAAACUGUGGCAAUGUCAUAGACAAUUUCUGGAAAGACUGUCCAUCUCAUGCCGUCUCUUUUUUCUUUGAUAUUUGCCUCUAAUAUGUAGAAGUCAUCCUCCAGAGCUGUGUCCUCAUCACAUGACUCAACCUUCCUAACCUUCUUAAUCUUUGCUGGUGCCCAGAUUUCCCCAGAAAUUUGGAAUUUUGAUCCAAGAGAUGCAGAGGCUGAGCAUUGUUGGAACCAAGUCAUAUUCAUAGCAGACUUUCCAGAGAAGGCCCAGAACAACCUGCUUGCUGCUGAGGUCCCCAGAGCCACUCUGAAGCCUGCCUCUCCGCAAUGAUUUCUCAGUUUCUCCUUUCAUUCCACACAUGUAUACAUUCAAUAA